GAUGAACGCUGGCGGCGUGCCUAAUACAUGCAAGUCGAGCGAACAGACGAGGAGCUUGCUCCUCUGACGUUAGCGGCGGACGGGUGAGUAACACGUGGAUAACCUACCUAUAAGACUGGGAUAACUUCGGGAAACCGGAGCUAAUACCGGAUAAUAUAUUGAACCGCAUGGUUCAAUAGUGAAAGACGGUUUUGCUGUCACUUAUAGAUGGAUCCGCGCCGCAUUAGCUAGUUGGUAAGGUAACGGCUUACCAAGGCAACGAUGCGUAGCCGACCUGAGAGGGUGAUCGGCCACACUGGAACUGAGACACGGUCCAGACUCCGACGGGAGGCAGCAGUAGGGAAUCUUCCGCAAUGGGCGAAAGCCUGACGGGGCAACGCCGCGUGAGUGAUGAAGGUCUUCGGAUCGUAAAACUCUGUUAUUAGGGAAGAACAAAUGUGUAAGUAACUAUGCACGUCUUGACGGUACCUAAGCAGAAAGCCACGGCUAACUACGUG
This 497-nucleotide ribosomal RNA is filed under the name uncultured bacterium. RNAcentral's name for it is "partial 16S ribosomal RNA". It matches the Rfam family "Bacterial small subunit ribosomal RNA", at positions 28 to 507 of the family's 1533-position model. The record is from RNAcentral.